GCCUUCCUGGGACGCUGCAGCCGUGAGGACGGAGCGGACGCACGGGAGCGCCUCGCUGCUGACCGUGCGAGCCGCUCGGCAGAUGGGCUGUGCUCGGACGCGCCGGCGGCAGCCCCGACAGCCGCGUGUCGGUUUUACCCCGCCAGUACGCGGUGCAGCCCACAAACCGGCGUUUGCUCACGGGCCCGGGACCGUACCUCGUUCCGCUUGGGCCGCGGUCCCUGCAGAUGCGCUGCGUUUAGCUGGACGCUACAGCCAGACAUGAGCAAUGUCCCCUGAACAAAGGCUUCACCGCUCCCAAACGUGACCGCGGGUGCGCCCGUCUGGCCGCACAAACAAGCUCCGGGUGCUGGCCGCUUAAAGGUGUUGCUUUGAGAACUCCAUUGCAACUUCAUUUCAAAAGUACUGGAGACCCGAAGGACAGAAAGACAGCCAAGACUGGGUUUUACAAAUGCUAGUGGCUGUAUAACAGUAGUAAUAUGUGAAAUCUAUCGUGAGCACCAAAACUGGAGCUUUGACUAAAAUAAUUUUGCCAAGUGCUCAUUUCUUUAUCCAGAACAAGCAUGCAUGGUACCUGGGCUCUACGUCUUGUCAAGUGAUUCCUCACACCACAUUUUUAUGUUAUGCGAUAUUGUCAGUCGUGUUUUUUUCAACCUUUUCUGCAGAAAACGAAACAGUGCCAUUAUCUCUGCCAGUCCUCUGAGGACUGGUGGUUCUUAAGGAAAAUCCACAUGGAGCCUGACCCAUCAUAGGUCAGAAAAAUGACCCUGUGAUUAAGCCUGGAGAGGCAGUCUGGGGGGCUGACUGAGGCUUGAGGCUGUGUGGGAGGAAAUGGUUUGCAAUAAUUUCCCUCCUUUUGCACAUUGGGAAGCAGUCUGCUUUUGUAACUGGACUUGUACCAGUGUCAUUAACUGAAUCCAUUUUUUUCUCCAUCUAAGUCAAAUAAUCUACAGUAACUUGAAUUUCUGAAUAAUUAUUCAGGUCUAAAGGGUUAGGAGAAGAGAGGAUGGACUAAAUAUUUGCAGACUGUAUCUGUAAACUUGGGAGAGUUACUUUAAAAGCCUUGAGUUACACAGCACGGUGAAAUACUGGUCAGCGUCUGCCCUUACUUUCUCUAAAGCAGCACCAGAGAGGGUUGCAUUUGGUUGUUCUUGGGCUCUUAUGUGAACUUUAAUAUGCAGCUGCCCCAGCAUUGUGGCUUCAUGAUGCUCAGCACCAUGAGUGUCAUGCCCACACCAGAGCCCCGCUGCCACCUGACCAGGAUGUGCCAGAAGAGCCCAGCACUGUCACAUUUCAGAUGCAGGGGCAGCAGCAGUGGCUGGCAGCUAGAGAAGGAAGUAUCCCUUCAGAUAGCCAGAAAGUGUUUGUUCUGGAGUGUUUUCCUACUCCUAGUCUCCUGGCAAACGCUCCUCUUCUGUAACUGGAUGCUUUAGCAGCAAGACCACUAGUACUGGCCAAGCAAAUGCACACAAAGUGACUGCCCACCAGGUCUUUAUGUUCCUAAGGGACUGCCUUAGCAUAAAGGAAAUAAUCCUCCUGCUGCAAGUGGGAUCCACUGAGAAGAUGAAACCCCCUCUCAGACAGCUUCUGCCCCUGGUGAGUGGGAUGUGCUGACCGUGGAGCUGGUGGCUGGCAUGUUUCACACAGUGAGCUGAGCUCCUGCCUCCUCAGGACCAAGCAAUAACACAUGAGGAGUGAGCCUCUCCUGAGAGGAACAACAUGCCCUGCCCUGUGCCUGUGUGCACUAACCACUGAGGAGUUAGAGUGAACCCCUUGUUUUGGCUGGGACAUCUCCGUAUAGCUGUGCAACUUUACGGGGAAUUAAAAUUCUCUGGAACAG
Taeniopygia guttata (zebra finch) is the source of this 1840-nucleotide long non-coding RNA. NCBI's taxonomy places the organism in Eukaryota, Metazoa, Chordata, Aves, Passeriformes, Estrildidae. The record is from Ensembl.